This 253-nucleotide ribosomal RNA is filed under the name uncultured bacterium. Its description in RNAcentral is "partial 16S ribosomal RNA". It matches the Rfam family "Bacterial small subunit ribosomal RNA", at positions 524 to 776 of the family's 1533-position model. The record is from RNAcentral.
UACAGAGGGUGCAAGCGUUGUUCGGAAUUAUUGGGCGUAAAGCGCGUGUAGGCGGCUUUGCAAGUCGGGUGUGAAAGCCCUCAGCUCAACUGAGGAAGUGCGCCCGAAACUGCAGAGCUUGAGUACCGGAGAGGAUGGCGGAAUUCCCCAAGUAGAGGUGAAAUUCGUAGAUAUUGGGAAGAACACCGGUGGCGAAGGCGGCUCUCUGGACCGAGACUGACGCUGAGGCGCGAAAGCGUGGGGAGCAAACAGG